AGCAUUUCUGGCUGCUGUUGAUCUUGUUUUUGGAGUAAAACACGGUGGAAACUGAAUUAGUGAGGAUGACUCCUGCUCCUGUCAUCUCUAAGCUCCUCACACAUCUUUACCUGCACAUGAGGAAAAUCACUCCUGUAGAAUGCAGAUGUUCAGAGGGAGAUGAUGCCACAUCUGGUCCAGCCGAUGGAAGGUCUUGAAGUUCUCUGACUGGCCUCGACUGAAGAUGGUCGUCUCACUGGAUUUAAGGUUCAGAUGCUCAGUAACAAACUCCACCAAUGAGCCAACAGGGAAGCUUUAGGUUUAUUAAAUGUUGCUAUGAAGGUAUCGCUGUUUUUCUUUGUGAAUGCAAUGAGCUCCAACUGAAACUUGAAUUAGAACUUAGAAGUAAAUCCUUCCAUCUGAAAGGAUUUAGUUGCAUUAAUAACCUCAUAACAUUCUAAUUUUUAUUCCAGUCUUAGUUGGAAAUAGAAUCUCUGUAUUGAUUCAGGUAAAAACUGAACUUCACAGCAUGUUGAAGCAAAACAACCAGAUGAAAACUGUGAUGGUGUUGGAUUGUCAGACUGUAAUGUUGCAGCUCAAAGCAGCUUUUCUAUCUCAGUUCAUUCUGACAUUCAGCUAUGAAUCAACACAGCAGAUGGUGAUCCAUGCUGUGGAAGUCUCACAUCUCCUGAUUUAAUGGAGCUGCUUUGCACUUUUGACACUGUUUAUUCACCAACACUUUAUUUAAUAAAAGUCCCAUCUAGUUUUUAUGAGGAAUGUGAUGUUUUAAUUUCUCUGUGAAUAACUGCAGUCUAAUGUAACAGCUGGAGUUGUAACAUCUGUCCUGAUAUUGAUCAUGAAAUAUUGAUCAGAAUACUUAUGGUUAGCAGUCAUCCCUGAAGUUUUACAUUAAAAUCUUUACUUGUGUUGUGAACUUUGGUAAGAAGCAGAAACGUUAGCGUUGCCAUGGAUACAUGAGUGUUAAAUUCUGUCCAUGUUUCCAUUUUGGGAAAUUCAGUCCAGCAGAUGAGUUUGUUUUUACUGCCAGCUACCAUUCAGUCUGAGAUAUUAAGAAUAAAUUAAUAUGCAUAAUGUGGAAAUUAACAGAUUUUAUUUUUAUUUAUUCCUACAGCUGCUGCAGGGAAUGUUCUCAAAUGUGGAGGAAUUUAGUCUCAAUCACAGACAACAAAUAUCUGAAAGUCGGGUUAUUGUUGUUUAUCAGCACAAUACAAAAAGAUUAAUGUUAGAAAUAUUCCAGUUAAGACACUAGAAUAUCAUGAUUUCUGUAAAUUUACCUCAAUAAUGUGAAUGUUCAGGUUAAGAUUGUGCAGUGAUAUUUAUUAUCUAAGUUUAGCUGAUUAAAGUUUAUGACUCUGCACUAAAAUAUUAUUUAAAUUGACAUCAUUAUUAUAAUAUUUAGGGUCAGACCCUUCAGUAUUGAGAUUAAGAAAUCAAAUAUUCUAUAAAAUGUAAAUACACUGAACUCAUUUGGAUAUAUUUAAGUGAGACUCUACA
This is a long non-coding RNA of Amphiprion ocellaris (clown anemonefish), 1494 nucleotides long. RefSeq lists it as uncharacterized. The transcript is spliced from 3 exons. The record is from RefSeq and is a predicted model, not a curated record. Lineage: Eukaryota; Metazoa; Chordata; Actinopteri; Pomacentridae.